Molecule: long non-coding RNA, 816 nt
Organism: Zootermopsis nevadensis
Lineage: Eukaryota; Metazoa; Arthropoda; Insecta; Blattodea; Termopsidae
Source: RefSeq, a predicted model, not a curated record
UAUGUGCACACUCACAGGAAAUAUGUUCUAAAUAAAGUCUCUACACUUAAUUAAGCCACGUUUGACAGGAAAAAACUUGAGAAAUACUGCUCAGUGAACAGUUUGGACAUUCGGUACAGUCAUCCUCCUUGCUGCGCAAAUAUAAUGAAGAAGCUGUCCAUAAUGGUAUUCUUACGGGAACUACAUUUUCACCAUUGUUGAGGAAAAAAAAGCAGAAUAUAUUUUCAGAACGCACCACGUGGCUGUUCAGACAUGCAAACGGAUAAAGAUACACAGCAUCAGUAGUUGUGAACACUAAUAGUGCAUGACGAGACUUGUUUGUGAAAGGUUAGAAUCUCUGAGUACGAAGGUGUUUCCAGGAAAGCGAUAAUUUAAUGUCAUUCUUUAUAACUAUAAAACGUCAACAUGGCAACAGAGACAACUUCGUGUACAUGAUGAUGCAUCUCCAUUUUACUGGUUGUUAUCUGAAAGGUUUCUGUUAACAAAACUCCAAAUAUAAGUACAUGGUACCAAGUGUGGGCAUAGGGUUUUCGAUAACUCGCACCAUGUUGAUGAAAAUUUUCCUAAAUUAGAAAAGUUUCUAAUGAUUGGAAACUAAUUAUUUCAAAAAAUGGUGCCAACAUAGAGAGAAAAUAGUCUUCGAGAAGCUGUUACUGCAGUUGAAGAAAGUAUGUAUGUAAAAUGAACGACCUGCCAUUCAUUUCGAGUAUAUGACGUUUCUUUCUAUUACAUUUUUCUUUGUGUGUAUUAACAGUUUAUAGGACUUUAACACGAUUUCAUGAGUAUGUCGCGUGAAAAAAAAUAUUAUUUUAAAUU